This 1469-nucleotide ribosomal RNA is filed under the name Escherichia coli. RNAcentral describes it as "partial 23S ribosomal RNA". It matches the Rfam family "Bacterial large subunit ribosomal RNA", at positions 614 to 2068 of the family's 2925-position model. The record is from RNAcentral. Lineage: Bacteria; Pseudomonadati; Pseudomonadota; Gammaproteobacteria; Enterobacterales; Enterobacteriaceae.
AAUGGGUCAGCGACUUAUAUUCUGUAGCAAGGUUAACCGAAUAGGGGAGCCGAAGGGAAACCGAGUCUUAACUGGGCGUUAAGUUGCAGGGUAUAGACCCGAAACCCGGUGAUCUAGCCAUGGGCAGGUUGAAGGUUGGGUAACACUAACUGGAGGACCGAACCGACUAAUGUUGAAAAAUUAGCGGAUGACUUGUGGCUGGGGGUGAAAGGCCAAUCAAACCGGGAGAUAGCUGGUUCUCCCCGAAAGCUAUUUAGGUAGCGCCUCGUGAAUUCAUCUCCGGGGGUAGAGCACUGUUUCGGCAAGGGGGUCAUCCCGACUUACCAACCCGAUGCAAACUGCGAAUACCGGAGAAUGUUAUCACGGGAGACACACGGCGGGUGCUAACGUCCGUCGUGAAGAGGGAAACAACCCAGACCGCCAGCUAAGGUCCCAAAGUCAUGGUUAAGUGGGAAACGAUGUGGGAAGGCCCAGACAGCCAGGAUGUUGGCUUAGAAGCAGCCAUCAUUUAAAGAAAGCGUAAUAGCUCACUGGUCGAGUCGGCCUGCGCGGAAGAUGUAACGGGGCUAAACCAUGCACCGAAGCUGCGGCAGCGACGCUUAUGCGUUGUUGGGUAGGGGAGCGUUCUGUAAGCCUGUGAAGGUGUGCUGUGAGGCAUGCUGGAGGUAUCAGAAGUGCGAAUGCUGACAUAAGUAACGAUAAAGCGGGUGAAAAGCCCGCUCGCCGGAAGACCAAGGGUUCCUGUCCAACGUUAAUCGGGGCAGGGUGAGUCGACCCCUAAGGCGAGGCCGAAAGGCGUAGUCGAUGGGAAACAGGUUAAUAUUCCUGUACUUGGUGUUACUGCGAAGGGGGGACGGAGAAGGCUAUGUUGGCCGGGCGACGGUUGUCCCGGUUUAAGCGUGUAGGCUGGUUUUCCAGGCAAAUCCGGAAAAUCAAGGCUGAGGCGUGAUGACGAGGCACUACGGUGCUGAAGCAACAAAUGCCCUGCUUCCAGGAAAAGCCUCUAAGCAUCAGGUAACAUCAAAUCGUACCCCAAACCGACACAGGUGGUCAGGUAGAGAAUACCAAGGCGCUUGAGAGAACUCGGGUGAAGGAACUAGGCAAAAUGGUGCCGUAACUUCGGGAGAAGGCACGCUGAUAUGUAGGUGAAGUCCCUUGCGGAUGGAGCUGAAAUCAGUCGAAGAUACCAGCUGGCUGCAACUGUUUAUUAAAAACACAGCACUGUGCAAACACGAAAGUGGACGUAUACGGUGUGACGCCUGCCCGGUGCCGGAAGGUUAAUUGAUGGGGUCAGCGCAAGCGAAGCUCUUGAUCGAAGCCCCGGUAAACGGCGGCCGUAACUAUAACGGUCCUAAGGUAGCGAAAUUCCUUGUCGGGUAAGUUCCGACCUGCACGAAUGGCGUAAUGAUGGCCAGGCUGUCUCCACCCGAGACUCAGUGAAAUUGAACUCGCUGUGAAGAUGCAGUGUA